This 513-nucleotide ribosomal RNA is filed under the name uncultured bacterium. RNAcentral's name for it is "partial 16S ribosomal RNA". It matches the Rfam family "Bacterial small subunit ribosomal RNA", at positions 28 to 523 of the family's 1533-position model. The record is from RNAcentral.
GACGAACGCUGGCGGUAUGCCUAAUACAUGCAAGUCGAGCGAACAGAUGAAGUGCUUGCACUUCUGACGUUAGCGGCAAACGGGUGAGUAACACGUAAGGAAUCUACCUAUAAGCGGGGGAUAACAUUCGGAAACGGGUGCUAAUACCGCAUAAUAUUUUCUUCCGCAUGGAAGAAAAUUGAAAGACGGCUCUGCUGUCACUUAUAGAUGACCUUGCGGUGCGUUAGUUAGUUGGUGGGGUAACGGCCUACCAAGACGAUGAUGCAUAGCCGACCUGAGAGGGUGCUCGGCCACAUUGGGACUGAGACACGGCCCAAACUCCUACGGGAGGCAGCAGUAGGGAAUCUUCCGCAAUGGGCGAAAGCCUGACGGAGCAAUGCCGCGUGAGUGAAGAAGGCCUUCGGGUCGUAAAACUCUGUUAUAAGAGAAGAACAAAUUGUAGAGUAACUGCUACAGUCUUGACGGUAUCUUAUCAGAAAGCCACGGCUAACUACGUGCCAGCCGCCGCGGUAA